This 512-nucleotide ribosomal RNA is filed under the name uncultured bacterium. Its description in RNAcentral is "partial 16S ribosomal RNA". It matches the Rfam family "Bacterial small subunit ribosomal RNA", at positions 28 to 507 of the family's 1533-position model. The record is from RNAcentral.
GAUGAACGCUGGCGGCGUGCCUAAUACAUGCAAGUCGAACGAAACUUCUUUAUCACCGAGUGCUUGCACUCACCGAUAAAGAGUUGAGUGGCGAACGGGUGAGUAACACGUGGGCAACCUGCCCAAAAGAGGGGGAUAACACUUGGAAACAGGUGCUAAUACCGCAUAACCAUAGUUACCGCAUGGUAACUAUGUAAAAGGUGGCUAUACUACCGCUUUUGGAUGGGCCCGCGGCGCAUUAGCUAGUUGGUAGGGUAAAGGCUUACCAAGGCAAUGAUGCGUAGCCGAAUUGAGAGGUUGAUCGGCCACAUUGGGACUGAGACACGGCCCAAACUCCUGCGGGAGGCAGCAGUAGGGAAUCUUCCACAAUGGGCGAAAGCCUGAUGGAGCAACGCCGCGUGGGUGAAGAAGGUCUUCGGAUCGUAAAACCCUGUUGUUAGAGAAGAAAGUGCGUGAGAGUAACUGUUCACGUUUCGACGGUAUCUAACCAGAAAGCCACUGCUAACUACGUG